Molecule: ribosomal RNA, 1372 nt
Filed under: uncultured bacterium
Lineage: Bacteria
Description: bacterial SSU rRNA
Rfam family: Bacterial small subunit ribosomal RNA
Source: RNAcentral
GAUGAACGCUGGCGGCGUGCCUAAUACAUGCAAGUCGAGCGAACGGACGAGAAGCUUGCUUCUCUGAUGUUAGCGGCGGACGGGUGAGUAACACGUGGAUAACCUACCUAUAAGACUGGGAUAACUUCGGGAAACCGGAGCUAAUACCGGAUAACAUUUUGAACCGCAUGGUUCAAAAGUGAAAGACGGUCUUGCUGUCACUUAUAGAUGGAUCCGCGCUGCAUUAGCUAGUUGGUAAGGUAACGGCUUACCAAGGCAACGAUGCAUAGCCGACCUGAGAGGGUGAUCGGCCACACUGGAACUGAGACACGGUCCAGACUCCUACGGGAGGCAGCAGUAGGGAAUCUUCCGCAAUGGGCGAAAGCCUGACGGAGCAACGCCGCGUGAGUGAUGAAGGUCUUCGGAUCGUAAAACUCUGUUAUUAGGGAAGAACAUAUGUGUAAGUAACUGUGCACAUCUUGACGGUACCUAAUCAGAAAGCCACGGCUAACUACGUGCCAGCAGCCGCGGUAAUACGUAGGUGGCAAGCGUUAUCCGGAAUUAUUGGGCGUAAAGCGCGCGUAGGCGGUUUUUUAAGUCUGAUGUGAAAGCCCACGGCUCAACCGUGGAGGGUCAUUGGAAACUGGAAAACUUGAGUGCAGAAGAGGAAAGUGGAAUUCCAUGUGUAGCGGUGAAAUGCGCAGAGAUAUGGAGGAACACCAGUGGCGAAGGCGACUUUCUGGUCUGUAACUGACGCUGAUGUGCGAAAGCGUGGGGAUCAAACAGGAUUAGAUACCCUGGUAGUCCACGCCGUAAACGAUGAGUGCUAAGUGUUAGGGGGUUUCCGCCCCUUAGUGCUGCAGCUAACGCAUUAAGCACUCCGCCUGGGGAGUACGACCGCAAGGUUGAAACUCAAAGGAAUUGACGGGGACCCGCACAAGCGGUGGAGCAUGUGGUUUAAUUCGAAGCAACGCGAAGAACCUUACCAAAUCUUGACAUCCUUUGACAACUCUAGAGAUAGAGCCUUCCCCUUCGGGGGACAAAGUGACAGGUGGUGCAUGGUUGUCGUCAGCUCGUGUCGUGAGAUGUUGGGUUAAGUCCCGCAACGAGCGCAACCCUUAAGCUUAGUUGCCAUCAUUAAGUUGGGCACUCUAAGUUGACUGCCGGUGACAAACCGGAGGAAGGUGGGGAUGACGUCAAAUCAUCAUGCCCCUUAUGAUUUGGGCUACACACGUGCUACAAUGGACAAUACAAAGGGCAGCGAAACCGCGAGGUCAAGCAAAUCCCAUAAAGUUGUUCUCAGUUCGGAUUGUAGUCUGCAACUCGACUACAUGAAGCUGGAAUCGCUAGUAAUCGUAGAUCAGCAUGCUACGGUGAAUACGUUCCCGGGUCU